Molecule: ribosomal RNA, 506 nt
Filed under: uncultured bacterium
Lineage: Bacteria
Description: partial 16S ribosomal RNA
Rfam family: Bacterial small subunit ribosomal RNA
Source: RNAcentral
AGUGAACGCUGGCGGUAGGCCUAACACAUGCAAGUCGAACGGCAGCACAGGAGAGCUUGCUCUCUGGGUGGCGAGUGGCGGACGGGUGAGGAAUACAUCGGAAUCUACCUUUUCGUGGGGGAUAACGUAGGGAAACUUACGCUAAUACCGCAUACGACCUUCGGGUGAAAGCAGGGGACCUUCGGGCCUUGCGCGGAUAGAUGAGCCGAUGUCGGAUUAGCUAGUGUGCGGGGUCAAGGCCCACCAAGGCGACGAUCCGUCGCUGGUCUGAGAGGAUGAUCAGCCACACUGGAACUGGGACCCGGGCCAGACUCCUACGGGAGGCAGCAGUGGGGAAUAUUGGAUAAUGGGCGCAGGCCUGAUCCAGCCAGACCGCGUGGGUGAAGAAGGCCUUCGGGUUGUAAAGCCCUUUUGUUGGGAAAGAAAAGCAACCAGUUAAUACCUGGUUGUUCUGACGGUACCCAAAGAAUAAGCACCGGCUAACUUCGUGCCAGCAGCCGCGGUAA